UAGCCUAUGAUGAUAUCAGUUAUCAAAACACACCAUCUUUCGGGACUGAAUGGCUUCUAAGCCUUGCUGUUAUUCUGCAAUUCUGAGGCUA
Small nucleolar RNA from Prosopis cineraria, 91 nucleotides. RefSeq annotates it as small nucleolar RNA SNORD96 family. The record is from RefSeq and is a predicted model, not a curated record. The transcript has a single exon. NCBI's taxonomy places the organism in Eukaryota, Viridiplantae, Streptophyta, Magnoliopsida, Fabales, Fabaceae.